Molecule: ribosomal RNA, 386 nt
Filed under: Bacillus subtilis
Lineage: Bacteria; Bacillati; Bacillota; Bacilli; Caryophanales; Bacillaceae
Description: bacterial LSU rRNA
Rfam family: Bacterial large subunit ribosomal RNA
Source: RNAcentral
CCCAAAGGUUCCCUCAGAAUGGUUGGAAAUCAUUCGCAGAGUGUAAAGGCACAAGGGAGCUUGACUGCGAGACCUACAAGUCGAGCAGGGACGAAAGUCGGGCUUAGUGAUCCGGUGGUUCCGCAUGGAAGGGCCAUCGCUCAACGGAUAAAAGCUACCCCGGGGAUAACAGGCUUAUCUCCCCCAAGAGUCCACAUCGACGGGGAGGUUUGGCACCUCGAUGUCGGCUCAUCGCAUCCUGGGGCUGUAGUCGGUCCCAAGGGUUGGGCUGUUCGCCCAUUAAAGCGGUACGCGAGCUGGGUUCAGAACGUCGUGAGACAGUUCGGUCCCUAUCCGUCGCGGGCGCAGGAAAUUUGAGAGGAGCUGUCCUUAGUACGAGAGGACCG